UGCAGGUGAGGGGAGGUCAUGUGAUUGUGGGUAUAUACAUAAUGGUCAUGAUUACAGUGUAUUUGCACAGAGAAUUGCCAACAGCAAAACCACAAUUAGAUUGUUAACCUGCACUUUAGAAGAGCCAAUAAUGCCACAUCUGAUUCUACAAAAAUAAUUCUAGUGCAGAUCUGAGAAGAGUAAAAUAAAGACAGAACCUAAAAAGGCAAGUUGGGUCGUCAAACGGUACUUAACAGGAGUUAUGAAAUUUAGGGAAAUUAUUUGUAAAGAAAUGAAGAGUCCCCUAAGAGGGAAUCAAAGUGAUCUACUAAGCCACCACCCUAACCACUAAGCCACACCUAUUCUGUCCCAAAGCUAUCACUAUUUAUGCCCUACCCAGAGAUAUCGUGAUUGCAGUGCACUUCCAAAUAGCUACCUCUUGAAAAAUGUUUAGACUAAGAAAUUAUUAUCUACAAUUUAAUGCACAUCAACUAUGUACAUGUAAUAGGAAGUAAGCACAGACACAUGUAUGAUAUGAUUAGCGUCUACAACCAGGUAACCAGUAUUCAUUACUCCUAUCAUUGUGUACUAUACUCCCCUUAGUGAUUCCUGCACACACAAAAGGUUAGGGUCAAACACAGCUGCCAAGCCAAGCUGCCAUAUGCUCAGCUAAAAGUUAAUGUAUAAGUAUUGCAAGUUCUAAUCUAAAGGUGCUGAUUUUAAGACCACUUUGAAAGUAAACAAGUAGAAAGGUUUGGGAAACAGUUUCAGUUCCACCAACACAGCCAGCCACCUAUACACAUCAUCAUUACACUAGUAAUCACAAACACAAACACUUGUUAUCAUAAACAGUUAAAGCCUGAAAUUAUUGCUUCAGUACACACGAACACUCUCCCCCAUACAACGCUAACUGUAAGACCAACAAAAGAAGCACUCCCACAAACAAACAAACAAACUAACCGCUGAGGGCUGUGAUUGCACGACCACCACGUUGUUGCUGGUCUGCUGUUGAGCCUGGGGGGCAUAGCCGGGUCCUGGUUGGUACCCCUGCUGCGGCUGGGGGUAGCCUUGUUGUUGUGGGGGGUAGCCUUGUUGUGGCUGCUGGGCAUACGGGGAAUAGCCAGGGGGCCCAGGCUGUUGUUGGUACGCCAUUGCAA
Molecule: long non-coding RNA, 1136 nt
Organism: Halichondria panicea
Lineage: Eukaryota; Metazoa; Porifera; Demospongiae; Suberitida; Halichondriidae
Exons: 2
Source: RefSeq, a predicted model, not a curated record